ACAGGUGUUGCAUUGGCUGUCGUCAGCUCGUGUCGUGAGAUGUUCGGUUAAGUCCGCUAACGAGCGCAACCCGCGUUGUGUGUUUAUAUGUGUCACACAAUACCGCCGGAUUUAAGCCGGAGGAAGGUGCGGAUGACGUCAAGUCAGCAUGACCUUUAUAUCCAGGGCUACACACACGCUACAAUGGACAGUACAACAGGUUGCCAAGCCGCGAGGCGGAGCCAAUCCUCUAAAAGCUGUCCUCAGUUCAGAUUGCAGGCUGCAACUCGCCUGCAUGAAGUUGGAGUUGCUAGUAACCGCAGGUCAGCUAUACUGCGGUGAAUACGUUCCCGGGGAUU
RNAcentral lists this ribosomal RNA (338 nucleotides) under uncultured Anaerolineaceae bacterium. RNAcentral's name for it is "bacterial SSU rRNA". It matches the Rfam family "Bacterial small subunit ribosomal RNA", at positions 1034 to 1378 of the family's 1533-position model. The record is from RNAcentral. Lineage: Bacteria; Bacillati; Chloroflexota; Anaerolineae; Anaerolineales; Anaerolineaceae.